Molecule: long non-coding RNA, 981 nt
Organism: Rhopilema esculentum
Lineage: Eukaryota; Metazoa; Cnidaria; Scyphozoa; Rhizostomeae; Rhizostomatidae
Source: RefSeq, a predicted model, not a curated record
UGCUGUCUCGCGGUCUCGGUUGCAGAUACCACAGCACAACAACAAUUAGACAGAAUACCACAACAACAAUCGCAUAACAAGAAGAAGUUGCGUCUUCGCAUCAUAAAGCUGUUAUCACGAUAAAAACUUUCCUGCGAUCCAGAUUCUAAAACUACAGAGAUGGUGUGACUAAUAAUUGACGCUGGUGAAUAUGUAGCCAGAAAGAUUCGCCAGCUUUUCUCAAGAUCUAGCAAAAUUGACGAAGAUCAUACUGGCCAAAAAUAUGCAUCUUGUGGUGGCAGCUUUAGCAAUAACACCAAUUACAGCUCUAUUCCAGAUGAUGAUACCCAACAAAGAAAAGAUGAUAGCUGGGAAAAUGGUCUAGAACCAAGAAAUGAAUGCUCUCUCAAAGCAAGAAAUAAUGAAGAUAGUUGCAAAAAAUCUUCAUGAUAGUAUGAUAAUCAAAUUAAUCUUGCCAGCGAUAAGCAGGUUCACAAGAUAAUUUGAUCUUAAAUCAACUUUAAAGACUUAAGAAAAUGUACCUUUAAUAUCUUAAGCACCUUGACCUAAUAAUGGCAAAUAUCACUUAAUAACUAAAUGUGCUUGCAAAUUGUUUAAAAGAUUAAUAUAAAAGCAAGAUAAUGAACACUAAAACCUUGAGAAAAUUUCUUUUAAUUUUGCAGGCCUUGAUGGCAAAAGAAGCACAAAAAUCAUAAAGAUUCAUAACUUUCGCCUUACAAUCUCUUCCAAGUCCCUUUUAGUAUCAUAGUUUUAGAAUUUGCUCACAAUUUUUUUUAUUAUUAACCCUCAUUUAAUAGGGAAUUAUUUUAAAACUAAAUUAUCUGCUUUUUAGCAUCUGCCAAUAUUUAUUUUACUUAUAAAAAUUAACAUAUAUGCACUUUAGGUACAUUUGAUUUGUUAGUGCAGUUUAUGAAAGUUUCCUUCUCAACUGCAUAAUUGCAGGUAAAGAAACUUGAUUUCAUCACUGCUUAGCUACACAAA